Struthio camelus australis is the source of this 2845-nucleotide long non-coding RNA. RefSeq lists it as uncharacterized. Lineage: Eukaryota; Metazoa; Chordata; Aves; Struthioniformes; Struthionidae. The record is from RefSeq and is a predicted model, not a curated record.
AAAAAAGCAGUAAACCGGCAAGUUUGCCCAAAGUGGUGGGAGCUGCUGAAGCCUCUCUCGGUAGCUCUUCCCUGACGCUGCAGCAGUAGAGCCGCCUGCGCUACACACACACAGAAAGAGAGAGAGAGAGAGAGAAAGAGAGAGAAAGAGAGAGCGAGCGAGCGAGGGAGGGAGGGAGGGAGGAGGGAGGACGAGUCAAGCGCUGCACUCCAGAAAGCCCAGCCUUACCCUCUGUCUCUGCUGCUGCUCUUGCUGCAAGUGGGAUAGCUGCUCAUCACAAAACACCAGUUCAGUCCUCAGCACCGAUCCUCAUUACACGCCAGAGUGUUGCUGCUGUUGCCAUCCCUAAGCCGUGAUCGGCAGAGCUGGUGCACGUUCGGAGCUCUGUAUUUUGCGGAAUCACACUGAGACUUGCUGCUUCGAUGACUGCUAAAAUGUAGCGUCACCUACCAGGUGUCUUCACAUGCAAUCUCUCCCUGAAUGUGCAAUGUCUUUCCUGCUCAAGAGUGCAGCGUCCUUCACAGUGGAUUGGUUCCUCUUUCGGAGCAGAGGGAGAUAUCUUGGCCAUUUUCCAGGAUGAGACUGAAGUCUAUUCAUGCUGAAGAGACAGACCUUUCUCUUGGUAGAGGGAAAUGCUUGGAUCUGUGUAACACUGAGAGCUGGUGGGUUUCUCUUUCUGACUACGUAGACCUUCCUGAAAGACGUUACACAUUAGGAAGUGAAAGUCUAGAGCCUUCCCCCUCCACCCCCCAAUCCCUUCUGUCAGUUUAAAGAACUACUUUUUUCUUGGUCAUGUAAACAUUUUAUUUUACAUAUUCAUGGGAGAAUGAAGAUGAUUAAGAUCUGUUGUUCCCUGUGCCAUGGUGUCAGUUAUCUCAUUGUUUUGUAUAGUAUUAGCAGGUAUUGGAUGUCGCACCUUUAGCAGGUUUUUAAGAAUCUUGAACAGACUUCUGAUCAUAGAAUAUGUUUUUCUUUGUGACCACAACAUUGGGAUAAAGGUCUUAGAGACAGUUUGCUUCAAAACAAACAGAACUGAAAGCCCUUCUGCCCCUCAGGACAUACAAGUCCGAUUUCUACUUACGGAAUGAUAUAUAACAUAAGCCAACUAGUGAAAAUCUAGUAAAGCCCACUGUUGGUUUGUUCCCACUGUGGAACAUGCAAAUGUUCCACAAAACAUCUUAUGCAAAUGCCAAAUCAAAGCCCAAAAUAAUGGUGUUCGAUGGAAAACUAGGACUGAUUAUUUUUAACUAUUUACCUGAAACUUUUUCUAUUCUUGUAGAUUUAUCUAUUAUUAUGCUUACAUGGGCACUUAAUCUCAAGAAUUUUGAUGGAAUUCUAAGGAAAUCUUACAUUUUGUUCUGGUAGUUUUGCACAGCUAUUCUCAGGGCCCUGAGUGCACCAACAGGCUCUGUAAUACCUUCUUCCUCUCAUAGGCACUUAGCUGCUUGUACUUAGUGCCAGCUCUGAUACUGUGCAACUAUGUAACCUUGGAUCAGGCUGCUGAGAAAAGAGCUGUGUGGAAAAAGAGCUGUGAGAGGCUUUGUCAGCCCUUCCCCACUGGAUCUGGGAAAUGCAUUUAAGCUCACGUCCUUGCCUUGGUCCUUGCCUGACCUAUGCUGUAGGUAUUCCUUUUCCUAGCCAUGUACCUUCCUGACCUGCUGACCUGACUUCAUGGCUUGAUCUUGAACUUCAUCACUAUGGGCUUGUCUGAUGAUCCCGACUCUUGGCUGGACUAGUGUACUGUCUUGGAACCUGUUCUGCUCUUCUGGCUGGGGUAUUGUGGGACUGUGCCGCUUGCUGGUGAGGGUGCCACCCCUGCCUACCUUGCUUUUACCCUCGGCUGCUGGCUCACGUUCUGUUGCGGUGCAGCCCACUCUUGCAGCUCCCUAACAACUGCUGCCAUAAACUGAUUUAGGUAAAAGGACAGUUAUCUCCAUUUUUUAACAUAUUUGAAUUCUUGAAUUCUUAGAAAAUGAACAUUCCCCUGAAAAAGCGCCCACUGAAACCAGCCCGUGUUCUUGAUAGAUCUCUGACUUGGUGUGAUCAUCUGAUAAAUGUGACUGCCAAAAUCAAGUCCUACUUACCAGAUAAACUCCCAUGGCUUGCCUGAGGAACUAAUUUUUGCUCUAUCUUGGACACCUGGACUUGCUCUCUGCUACUUGGCAGCAGAAUACCAUCAUCCAGACUGGCCUUAUUUAUUGCAUAUUCAGUGGAUUGACUCAUAGCUCAAUCUGGCCAUCCAUCAGAGACUGCUACCAACACCUGUGCUACCCCUGCCAGGGCACAUUCUCUGGGCAUAUACUUCUGCCUAAAUGGGAGAAAAAUGUUGAAAGCUUGCUUGUCUGGCCCGGGGAAGAAUUUAGCCCUUUUCCAUUUAAUAUGAAAUCCCAACAUUCUAUGUUGACUUCAACAUGACUUUUCAAAGGCAUUCUGCUAAGGUUAAAAAAUAGUCCCAGCUACCAAUAACUAAACAUCAUCAUAUUUAAAAGUGCACAGUUUGGCAGUCAGGCUUUGUUUUUCUUCCUUGAGUUUCUCCUCCAUCAAGAUCUGUGCUUUAUCAGCAGACACAGAUGGAAGGAUUUGGAAAGAUCUGAAUUACACCUGUCAGUUUCAAUUCAUAUCACAAAAGAUUGCUUCUCACUUCAACUUUUACUUUUUAAUUAAUUUAUUAGUUGCUGAAUCUUCUUUCAAUAAAGCAAAAUAUAUUAAACUAUUCAGGGAGCAAGGACUAUGUUCAUGGAAAGCUAUCUUAAGAAAGCUCUGCUAUAACCAUUCUGAAGGCAGUUGGAAACUCUAACAUUGCUUUGAAAAGCAGACAAAAAAAGAAGCCUUCUUCAAAUUGUUG